Molecule: ribosomal RNA, 482 nt
Filed under: uncultured bacterium
Lineage: Bacteria
Description: partial 16S ribosomal RNA
Rfam family: Bacterial small subunit ribosomal RNA
Source: RNAcentral
AUUGAACGCUGGCGGCAUGCUCUACACAUGCAAGUCGAACGGUAACAGGCCGCAAGGUGCUGACGAGUGGCGAACGGGUGAGUAAUGCAUCGGAACGUGCCCAGUCGUGGGGGAUAACUACUCGAAAGAGUAGCUAAUACCGCAUACGAUCUAUGGAUGAAAGCGGGGGACCGUAAGGCCUCGCGCGAUUGGAGCGGCCGAUGUCAGAUUAGGUAGUUGGUGGGGUAAAGGCUCACCAAGCCAACGAUCUGUAGCUGGUCUGAGAGGACGACCAGCCACACUGGGACUGAGACACGGCCCAGACUCCUACGGGAGGCAGCAGUGGGGAAUUUUGGACAAUGGGCGCAAGCCUGAUCCAGCAAUGCCGCGUGCAGGAAGAAGGCCUUCGGGUUGUAAACUGCUUUUGUACGGAACGAAACGGCUCUGGUUAAUACCCGGGGCUAAUGACGGUACCGAAAGAAUAAGCACCGGCUAACUACGUG